RNAcentral lists this long non-coding RNA (1392 nucleotides) under Medicago truncatula (barrel medic). Its description in RNAcentral is "lncRNA gene6012". Lineage: Eukaryota; Viridiplantae; Streptophyta; Magnoliopsida; Fabales; Fabaceae. The record is from RNAcentral.
UGUAGUAGUACUACUAGACCUAGUUGAUGUUCUUUCUUUUUUAACAUGAUGCAAACUACAAGACAAAGAAAGUACCGAGCUAGAUGACUCAUAAUUCAUGAUCAAUGAAGACCGUUCACUAAAUCGAAAACCUUUUGAGACAUAGAAGCAUCACCGACAAAAAUACCAUGUCUACCACCACUAUAAAACUGUCCAACCACAUUGACACUUUUACCCUCAAGCAACUUCACCAAUUCCCUCUGACGAUCCACAAGUUGAUCCCCAUCACAACCAAAAACCGCUACUCUCCAACCAAACAACCUUAUCUUCUCCAAAACCUUAUCUCCACCAUUCACCGUUGGAUUACAAUACUCAUAAUCACGAUCAACUCCUAAAGGUAAAGACAAAUUCCACAUUGAAUCAGUAACUAUCAACGGUAAAUUCAAAUCCUUCUCAAGUCUUAUCUCAGACGCUGUCCUCUUGUUCCCACCAAAAAACGGUUGAAUUAAUAUCAAACCUUUGAUAUUAACCGGUUUAAUCUCAUCAACUAUUGCAGCUGCACGUAGACCUGCGGUGUAUGCAAUGUUACCUCCAGCACUCUCUCCCAUGAGAUAAACACGUGAGUAAUCAGCAUGAUGUGUUAGCCAUGGAUCUUUUGAGGUUUUGAUCCAGUGAAGAAUCUCCACGGAGUCUUCAUAGGCUGCCGGAAGACGGUGUUCCGGUGCAAGACGAUAUUCGAGUGAAACAACGACGGAGUGAGUUUGAUUAGCGAGGUUGGAGCAGAAGUUGUGGAAGUAAGUUGAAGCGGCGCUGUAAAAGAUGAAGCCACCGCCAUGGUAGAAAACGAUGAGUGGUAGUUUCUUGGAGGUUGGUUUGUGGGGUAAGUAGAUUCUAGCCCAAGUGUGUUUUGAUGGGUUUAGGGUCAGGUCUUUGGAGAGGGAGGGUGUAGGAAGAUUGGGAUCUUGUGAAGGUGGGGAUUGUGGGUAUUUGUCUAAGCGUGUGAUGGUGCCGUUUGGGUUGUGGAUUAGGUUGAGUACUUUGUAUGGAUCCAUGGAGGAUGAUGAGUUUACAUUCGCAAGUAAGAGGAGGAGAUGCAAGGAAAGAAUAGCAAUAGCAGUAAUGUGUAGUGACAUAGACAUGGCUAGUACUGAUUAGUAGUUAAUGGAGAAUUAAUAGAUCUGUUGUGAUUUGGAAACCACAUGUGCAAAGAUACGUGAAUGUGAAGCUCUAGAUCUUCAAUGAUCAUGUGAUAGAUCGAAUCGAAGUCAAAGUGAAACUACUACUUGAAUGUGUGACAUAAAACAACAUCACGAUAGUCUUCGAAUUUUUCUAAAUUGGAAAAAUAAAUUUUAGUGUUUUUUUUUUUUAGUUUAUAGUGCAUAAUAUAUGUCAGGAUUCAAACUCCGACCAUCA